Molecule: long non-coding RNA, 720 nt
Organism: Pristis pectinata (smalltooth sawfish)
Lineage: Eukaryota; Metazoa; Chordata; Chondrichthyes; Rhinopristiformes; Pristidae
Exons: 3
Source: RefSeq, a predicted model, not a curated record
UGAUCCUCACCAUGCUGCCAGGUGUAAUUUGGUUUUGUGAGCGACCAGUUCAAACAUGGUGUGCACCUGCUGCUUUGGCUGCUGUUGCGAAUGCUUGGUGUCUGGAAAGUGUGGAAGUGGAUUACGUUGUAGCAUUAGGGAGCAGGACCGGCCCUGACCUGGGGCAUAGAACAGUACAGGAACAGGCCCUUCAGCCCACCAUGUCUGUGCCGACCAUGAAGAACGUUAGCUGAGUUUUUAUAAACGUCAUCGUCCCCAUUGCAGAGACAGAUGUCAAACUUGUACUUGGGGAAUUGCGCGUCGUUAUCAACAAGCAUGAAGUGGUGUACCCUGACGCCUUCCUCAUCAUCGCUGGGGACUUCAACCAGGCCAGCUUGAACUACCUUCAACACCAGAGGACCAAGCACACUCGAUCACUGCUUUGCCACCAUCAGGCAUGCCAACCACUCCAUCCCUCACCUGCACUGCGGUAAAUCCAACCACCUGGCUGUGUUUCUUCCUGCAUACAGGCAGAGACUGAGGGGCGCGGCACCGGAGCUGAGGGUAAUGAAGAGCCGGUCAAGAGAGGCAGAGGAGCGAAUACAAGACUGCUUCGAACCAGUGGACUGGGUCAUGUUCAAUGAUUCGUCAGCAGACCUGAAUGAACAUGCCAGUGUUCACUGAAUUCAUAAAAAUAUGUGUGGAGGAGUGUGCACCAACAAAAAAAGCUUGUGCCCCUCC